Thalassophryne amazonica is the source of this 128-nucleotide long non-coding RNA. RefSeq lists it as uncharacterized. Lineage: Eukaryota; Metazoa; Chordata; Actinopteri; Batrachoidiformes; Batrachoididae. The record is from RefSeq and is a predicted model, not a curated record. The transcript is spliced from 3 exons.
AGACCUGAGACAACCAACCAGUAAUGUCACAUAAUUACCUUUUAGGCACCACCCCGUGUGAUCGUUGAUGGAAGAAGGAUGACCAGGAUUCAGCCUUUGUCUCAGUUGACCUCGUCAUGUUUUAUUAA